AUUGAACGCUGGCGGCAGGCCUAACACAUGCAAGUCGAGCGGAGCGGCUGACGGGUGAGUAAUGCCUAGGAAUCUGACUGGUAGUGGGGGAUAACGUCCGGAAACGGGCGCUAAUACCGCAUACUAUCAGAUGAGCCUAGGUCGGAUUAGCUAGUUGGUGGGGUAAAGGCAUACCAAGGCGACGAUCCGUAACUGGUCUGAGAGGAGGAGCAGUCACACUGAAACUGAGAAACGGGCAAGACUCCUACGGGAGGCAGAAGUGGGGAAUAUUGGACAAUGGGCGAAUGCCUGAUCCAGCCAUGCCGGGUGUGUGAAGAAGGUCUUCGUAUUGUAAAGCACUUUAAGUUGGGAGGCGUUACCAACAGAAUAAGCACCGGCUAACUUAGUGCCAGCAGCCGCGGUAAUUC
This 407-nucleotide ribosomal RNA is filed under the name uncultured bacterium. RNAcentral's name for it is "partial 16S ribosomal RNA". It matches the Rfam family "Bacterial small subunit ribosomal RNA", at positions 30 to 526 of the family's 1533-position model. The record is from RNAcentral.